This 76-nucleotide transfer RNA is filed under the name Deltaproteobacteria bacterium. RNAcentral describes it as "tRNA-Arg". It matches the Rfam family "tRNA". Rfam says of the family: Transfer RNA (tRNA) molecules are approximately 80 nucleotides in length. The record is from RNAcentral. Lineage: Bacteria; Pseudomonadati; Myxococcota; Myxococcia.
GCGCCCGUAGCCCAAUGGAUAGAGCAAUAGCCUUCUAAGCUAUCGGUUGCAGGUUCGAGUCCUGCCGGGCGCGCCA